CAAAGGCUUGGUCCUGACUUUUCUAUCAUCUUUAGCCUAACUUACACAUGCAAGUAUCCGCACCCCUGUGAGAAUGCCCCACAGUUUCCUGUUCGGAAACAAGGAGCCGGCAUCAGGCACAAUAGAAAUUAGCCCAAGACGCCUUGCUCAGCCACACCCUCAAGGGAAAUCAGCAGUGAUAAACAUUAAGCCAUAAGUGAAAACUUGACUUAGCCAAGGCUAAGAGGGCCGGUAAAACUCGUGCCAGCCACCGCGGUUAUACGAGAGGCCCAAGCUGAUAGACAUCGGCGUAAAGCGUGGUUAGGAGACCCAAACAAAUUAAAGUCGAAUGUUUUCAAGGCUGUUAUACGCAUCCGAAAACUAGAAGCACAACAACGAAGGUGACUUUACAACUUCUGAACCCACGAAAGCUAAGGCACAAACUGGGAUUAGAUACCCCACUAUGCCUAGCCUUAAACAUUGAUAGCAAAUUACAUUUCUAUCCGCCUGGGAACUACGAGCAUAAGCUUAAAACCCAAAGGACUUGGCGGUGCUUUAGAUCCACCUAGAGGAGCCUGUUCUAGAACCGAUAACCCCCGUUAAACCUCACCUUUCCUUGUUCUACCCGCCUAUAUACCACCGUCGUCAGCUUAUCCUGUGAAGGUUAACUAAUAAGCAAAAUUGGCACACCCCAAAACGUCAGGUCGAGGUGUAGCGUACGGAGAGGGAAGAAAUGGGCUACAUUCUCUAUUCUAGAGAACACGAACGAUAAACUGAAAGACAUAUCUGAAGGAGGAUUUAGUAGUAAGGGGGAAAUAGAGCGUCCUCCUGAAACUGGCCCUGAAGCGCGCACACACCGCCCGUCACUCUCCCCAAGCUUCCUAUAUUUAUUAAAUAAAACACUCUAUCUGCAAAGGGGAGGCAAGUCGUAACAUGGUAAGUGUACUGGAAGGUGCACUUGGAUAAAU
Molecule: non-coding RNA, 947 nt
Filed under: Acreichthys tomentosus
Lineage: Eukaryota; Metazoa; Chordata; Actinopteri; Tetraodontiformes; Monacanthidae
Description: 12S ribosomal RNA
Rfam family: Bacterial small subunit ribosomal RNA
Source: RNAcentral